GUCAUCCUGAAGGCGAGCGGAGAAAGCGAGUGGAGAGGGGGGAGCCGCGCUUCACAUCAAAUGUCCCCUGUGGCCAUGGCAACAGCUUUGGGGGAGGGGGUGCCGGUCCGCGGGCCAGCAGCGGGCAGCCUGCGACUCCUGCCAGGGUCCAGCGCUCCGCUGGGGUAGAGUCCGUCAUUAGUGCUGAAUCCAGUUGUGCCCGGACCAGAAGAGACACCAGAGCCAGUCCCGUCCCCUCCCCGGGCUGGUCAUAGCAGGCCCAACCCUGGACGGACACACAAAUAUCUGUGCUGCCCACAUCCAGCCAACACAGGCAGCAGGAUAUUUCCUCCUAGUCAGACUGGGUGUUCUAAACCAUGUAGAUAAAGGCCACUUGCCCAGGAAGGGGGAGCAAGAAGGUCCUGGUUUCACCGUGAACAUAAAUCACUGUUUUGGCAGUCUACCAUACUAUCCAUCAGACUAGCCUUUCAGAGGAAAAUGCCAGAGGCAGCAACUGAAAACAGCUUGUAGGAGUCAUCAGUUAGUCACUGAAGCAAAUCAUUUGAGAGAAGAUAAAGACGAGCUCUUGACAUUCCUGGGACAAGAAGACCUGCCCUGUGAGGCUCGCCUGUGAGCGGCUCAGCUUCUCCUACCCUGGGUAAGGUAAUUGAUGAGUUAGUUAAUAUGCACAGGAGAUGCAGCACUGUCAAAAGAAGAUGGACUGCUUCUAGUCCUCACUGUCAUUACUAAGAUGAUCUCAGCCUUUCAACUUGACUGGGAGAAACCAAUUUCCUGGGGGAAGUCUCAAUAAAAUUGUUUUCCUAUCAUCAGGUGGAAAUCUUGUUAAGUGCUCCAAGGACCCUUGGUUUUAUGGGUUUGUUUUUACAGCCCCCAGCAGCCUUGGCUAGGAUUUCAUUCUAAAAUAACAUUUCCUCUCUGUAAAAAAUGUCUUGUUGCUCCAGGCUCUGGGGCUGAGUGACCCUCAUGAGUUUUUGACUGCAGGAGGCCAAGGGGUGAAAUGGAGGUUUGCAAUUUAUGUCAAAUAUGCACACAGGGACACACAGUUGGAUCUGUCCCUUCUGCUUCCUCUUUUUUAGAAGAUGAGAUGAUGACUCCUGCUGUGACUAUCCUGACAGUACCCCCAUUCAACAAUUCAGAAUUAGCAGUAGAUGUACAGUAAAUUUGUUUUUUUCCUUUUAAAUAGACUUUAUUUUUUUCUUAGAACAGUUUUAGGUUCACAGCAAACUUGAGCAGAAAGUAGAGUUUCCAUUACACUCCCUACUCCAACACAUGCACAGCCUUCCCCCAUUGUCAACAUCGUACACCAGAGUGAUACAUUUGUUACAUUGAUGAACCUACAUGGACACAUCAUUAUCACCCAAAGUCCACAGUUUGCAUUAGGGUUCACUCUCGAUGUUAUACAUUUUAUGGAUUUGGACAAAUGUAUAGUGGCAUAUAUCCACCAUCAUAGUACCCUACAGAGUAGUUUCUUGGCCUUAAAAAUCUGUACUCCACCUAUUCAUCCCCCCUCCCUUCCUAACUCCUGGCAACCACUGAUCUUUUUGCUGUCUUCCUAUUUUUGCUUUUUCUAGAAUGUCAUACAGUUGGAAUCUUACAAUAGGCUACAUACAAAGGCUACAGCCUUUCCAGAUUGGCUUCUUUCACUUAGUAAAACACAUUUAAAGUUUCUCUGUGUCUUUUCAUAGCUUGAUAUCUCACCUCUUAGCACCUGAUUAUUUGGUACAAAAUAAUAUUCCCUUGUCUGGAUCUACCACAGUUUAUUUAUCCUUUCACCUACUGAAGGACAUCUUGGUUGCUUCCAAGUUUUGUCAAUUAUGAAUAAAGCUGCUAUAAACAUCUG
Homo sapiens (human) is the source of this 1840-nucleotide long non-coding RNA. Ensembl annotates it as long intergenic non-protein coding RNA 1586. The record is from Ensembl. NCBI's taxonomy places the organism in Eukaryota, Metazoa, Chordata, Mammalia, Primates, Hominidae.